CUCAAAUCCUUCUUGGGGGUCAGCAAGAAGAGUCUUACAGAUGACAAAGAAGAAAAUAGGAGUCAAUGAGACACACAAUGGGAGCCCUGCUGGCUGAAUUCCUGGUGGUUUUGAUGCCUGGUUCACAGCCUUGGCUCGUGAGGUGCUGCAACAGGGAGGCUGAUCUCCAGCCCCAUAAACCUUCGAAGCUAACCUUGCAGCUGCAUCCUGCUAGGCUCUCCCACACAGAAUUCUUCUUUCUGGCCCAGAUGCUGCUGCAGUGUC
RNAcentral lists this long non-coding RNA (264 nucleotides) under Zonotrichia albicollis (white-throated sparrow). Its description in RNAcentral is "lncRNA (ENSZALG00000012646.1)". Lineage: Eukaryota; Metazoa; Chordata; Aves; Passeriformes; Passerellidae. The record is from RNAcentral.